GCCUGUGUAGCUCAGUUGGUUAGAGCACUGCACCGGAAUCGCAGGGCCGUAGGUUCAAUUCCUACCAGAGGAC
Molecule: transfer RNA, 73 nt
Filed under: Paramuricea clavata
Lineage: Eukaryota; Metazoa; Cnidaria; Anthozoa; Malacalcyonacea; Plexauridae
Rfam family: tRNA
About the family: Transfer RNA (tRNA) molecules are approximately 80 nucleotides in length.
Source: Rfam by way of RNAcentral